RNAcentral lists this ribosomal RNA (468 nucleotides) under uncultured bacterium. RNAcentral's name for it is "partial 16S ribosomal RNA". It matches the Rfam family "Bacterial small subunit ribosomal RNA", at positions 28 to 507 of the family's 1533-position model. The record is from RNAcentral.
GACGAACGCUGGCGGCGUGCUUAACACAUGCAAGUCGAACGGAAAGGCCCUGCUUUUGUGGGGUGCUCGAGUGGCGAACGGGUGAGUAACACGUGAGUAACCUGCCCUUGACUUUGGGAUAACUUCAGGAAACUGGGGCUAAUACCGGAUAGGAGCUCCUGCUGCACGGUGGGGGUUGGAAAGUUUCGGCGGUUGGGGAUGGACUCGCGGCUUAUCAGCUUGUUGGUGGGGUAGUGGCUUACCAAGGCUUUGACGGGUAGCCGGCCUGAGAGGGUGACCGGCCACAUUGGGACUGAGGUACGGCCCAGACUCCUACGGGAGGCAGCAGUGGGGAAUAUUGCACAAUGGGCGGAAGACUGAUGCAGCAACGCCGCGUGCGGGAUGACGGCCUUCGGGUUGUAAACCGCUUUCGCCUGUGACGAAGCGUGAGUGACGGUAAUGGGUAAAGAAGCACCGGCUAACUACGUG